AAUCAACGCUGGCGGCGUGCCUAACACCUGCAAGUCGAACGCGAAAGUUCCUUCGGGGAUGAGUAGAGUGGCGUCCGGGUGAGUAACACGUGGGAACCUUCCCUAUGGUUCGGAAUAGCUCAGGGAAACUUGAGGUAAUACCGGAUAAGCCCUUACGGGGAAAGAUUUAUCGCCAUUGGAUGGGCCCGCGUCGGAUUAGCUAGUUGGUGGGGUAACGGCCUACCAAGGCGACGAUCCGUAGCUGGUCUGAGAGGAUGAUCAGCCACACUGGGACUGAGACACGGCCCAGACUCCUACGGGAGGCAGCAGUAGGGAAUAUUGGACAAUGGGCGCAAGCCUGAUCCAGCCAUGCCGCGUGAGUGACGAA
Molecule: ribosomal RNA, 367 nt
Filed under: uncultured bacterium
Lineage: Bacteria
Description: bacterial SSU rRNA
Rfam family: Bacterial small subunit ribosomal RNA
Source: RNAcentral